RNAcentral lists this ribosomal RNA (776 nucleotides) under uncultured Alphaproteobacteria bacterium. RNAcentral describes it as "bacterial SSU rRNA". It matches the Rfam family "Bacterial small subunit ribosomal RNA", at positions 35 to 862 of the family's 1533-position model. The record is from RNAcentral. Lineage: Bacteria; Pseudomonadati; Pseudomonadota; Alphaproteobacteria.
GCUGGCGGCAGGCCUAACACAUGCAAGUCGAGCGCACCUUCGGGUGAGCGGCGGACGGGUUAGUAACGCGUGGGAACGUACCCUUUUCUACGGAAUAGCCUUUGGAAACGAAGAGUAAUACCGUAUACGCCCUUUGGGGGAAAGAUUUAUCGGAGAAGGAUCGGCCCGCGUUAGAUUAGAUAGUUGGUGGGGUAACGGCCUACCAAGUCUACGAUCUAUAGCUGGUUUUAGAGGAUGAUCAGCAACACUGGGACUGAGACACGGCCCAGACUCCUACGGGAGGCAGCAGUGGGGAAUCUUAGACAAUGGGCGCAAGCCUGAUCUAGCCAUGCCGCGUGAGUGAUGAAGGCCUUAGGGUCGUAAAGCUCUUUCGCCUGUGAUGAUAAUGACAGUAGCAGGUAAAGAAACCCCGGCUAACUCCGUGCCAGCAGCCGCGGUAAUACGGAGGGGGUUAGCGUUGUUCGGAAUUACUGGGCGUAAAGCGCACGUAGGCGGAUUGGAAAGUUGGGGGUGAAAUCCCGGGCUCAACCCCGGAACUGCCUCCAAAACUAUCAGUCUAGAGUUCGAGAGAGGUGAGUGGAAUUCCAAGUGUAGAGGUGAAAUUCGUAGAUAUUUGGAGGAACACCAGUGGCGAAGGCGGCUCACUGGCUCGAUACUGACGCUGAGGUGCGAAAGUGUGGGGAGCAAACAGGAUUAGAUACCCCUGGUAGUCCACACCGUAAACGAUGAAUGCCAGUCGUCGGCAGUAUACUGUUCGGUGACACACCUACGGAUUA